Long non-coding RNA from Pieris napi, 889 nucleotides. RefSeq lists it as uncharacterized. The transcript has 2 exons. Lineage: Eukaryota; Metazoa; Arthropoda; Insecta; Lepidoptera; Pieridae. The record is from RefSeq and is a predicted model, not a curated record.
GAAAGGCUUCGGUUGCAAAUCGUACGCAUUCUCGCCAAGUCCGCUGAAUCGUGCACACCUAUGCAGGUAUCUUACGAUGUUUCCCAAUCCAUUCGAUAGAAAACAUUCGACGAUACGACAAGUUAUCGAUCGACUUUUCGAUUCGAGAAACGCGCGCAAUGGAUUGUCUCGCAAAGCGAGCAAGCGUAGCAACUCAUCCACGCUCUCGAAUACCUCAACGUCGAGUGGAAAGAUAUUCGUUUUCUCGACUCGUUCGUGAAUCGGACCCGUGUUAAGUGCUGAUUGCAUCUUGUGUUUCGCUACUCUACUAUUUGGUACGCGAAAUAUUGCUAACUGAUCCUUGAAACGGCAUCAAUUAUGAAGAAUGACGGAGCAUAACUGGCCCUCAGUGCAAUGUGCUUGAGAUACAACGCGACAUAUACUAAAACAUAUAAAUAGCUGUCAUACUUAUGCUAUAAAGAGACGAAAUACUCUAAAAAAAUUAAGAUUCGCCUUGCUCUGCCUGUAGAAAGAUUUAUAUUCAGGCCAAUUUAGGUUUUAUUUAGAAAUUAGAUUAUCUCUAUUGAUGCUCAAUUGUUAUCUACACAAGAAAAAUUUAAUGCAUGUUAAUAAAAUAGGUUGUUUUUGGUUAUCUACAACAUUUCUUAGUGGUUGACGUAUUUGUAUUCCCGGUAAAUUAAAAGGCAAAGGCCAUCUCUUUGCCGUCGUAAGGUAAGCAUAAAUUGGUCUAAUAUCUAAACCUGAAACAAAAGCGUAAUUAUUGUAUACUAUAGAUUUUAUAUAAAAGUUAUUAAAUUAAUUUUAAUAUUGCCAUCCAAAGCUUUAAUAUUUAUAAUUAUAGAUAAGAAAUGUAAUAGUUAAGACAUACCAAUAUACGAAAUUAUCAAUU